Molecule: ribosomal RNA, 253 nt
Filed under: uncultured bacterium
Lineage: Bacteria
Description: partial 16S ribosomal RNA
Rfam family: Bacterial small subunit ribosomal RNA
Source: RNAcentral
UACGUAGGCAGCAAGCGUUGUUCGGAGUUACUGGGCGUAAAGGGUGCGUAGGCGGCCUCUUAAGUCUGGUGUGAAAUCUCCCGGCUCAACUGGGAGGGUGCGCCGGAUACUGAGGGGCUAGAGUGUGGGAGAGGAAAGUGGAAUUCCAGGUGUAGCGGUGAAAUGCGUAGAUAUCUGGAGGAACACCGGUGGUGUAAACGGCUUUCUGGACCAUAACUGACGCUGAGGCACGAAAGCGUGGGUAGCAAACAGG